CCUCCCUCUUCAGUCCUGACGAAGGGUCUCGGCCCGAAACGUUGACUGCUCGUUUCCACGGAUGCUGCUCGACCUGCUGAGUUCCUCCAGCGUGUUGUGCAUGUGGGUUGGUUUCCUGCUGCCUAACUGUGUGAUCAGCUGAGGGUUAUUCCAUUUGUCUUGAAUAGUUACACACAUGUGCACAGAUAAUCACGCACUUCGUGUUACUUGAUGUGCUGUACAUACAAUGUCUAUGUAUAUAAGCUAAUUUUAUGCAUGUAUGGCUGAACCCAGGUACUUGUACAUUGUGUUUUAUAGGAUUGCUUUUAUAUUCAUAUUUAUUGUGUUCUUUAUGCUUACUGUGUUUUUUUUUAAGCUGCAUCUGAAUUUGAGUAUCAAUCACUCUGUUCUCCUUUACACUCGUGCACUGAAGCAUGACAAUAAACAAUCCUGAAUCUUGCAGCUUAAAUCUGGACGCGCUCCCAAGCUAAAGCUGUGGAUACCACUUUGUGAGCGGUAGUCCCAAAAUACCUUAGCUGAUUGAGGUCAAUUGUGGCAACGCAGGCAUGUCUUGUGGAUCCAGUUUUUGCACUGCCAAGUGUCGAGUUUCAGCCACGGAACUCUGCUGAGCGGUGAGCCGAGGCCGGCUGUUACUGUUAGAAGUGCGAAUUACUGGAAUCUGUAAGUACGUGUUAUAGACUCAGUCAGCUCCAUUAUGGGCACUAGGCUUCCUACCAUCGAGGACCUCUUCAAAAGGUGAUCUCAAGAAGAUGCCAUCCAGGACAAGCCCUCUUCUGAUUGCUGCUGUCAGGUAGGAGGUGCAGGAGCCUGAAGAACCACACUCAAUGUCAUUAGGAACAGUUUCUUUCCACCCACCAUAAGAUUUCUAAAUGGUCCAUGAACACUACCUAACUAAUUUGCUCUCUUUUUACUAUUUAUUUUUAUAAAAUAACAAAUAAAUUUGCUAAAACAACAACACACACAAAAUGCUGGUGGAACACAGCAGACCAGGCAGCAUCUAUAGGGAGAAGCGCUGUCGACGUUUCGGGCCGAGACCCUUCGUCAGGACUAACCGAAAGGAAAGAUAUUAAGAGAUUUGAAAGUAGUUGGGGGAGGGGGAAAUGCGAAAUGAUAGAAGACCGGAGGGGGUGGGAUGAAGCUAAGAGCUGGAAAGGUGAUUGGCGAAAGUGAUACAGAGCAGGAGAAGGGAAAGGAUCAUGGGACAGGAGGCCUCAGGAGAAAGAAAGGAGGUGGGGGGAGUACCAGAGGGAGAUGGAGAACAGGCAAACAACUAAAUAUGUCAGGGAUGGGGUAAGAAGGGGAGGAGGGGCAUUAACGGAAGGUAACGGAAGUUAGAGAAGUCAAUGUUCUCUAUUUUUUAAAAUUUCAUUUAUUUAUUUUUAUACUGUGUGUGGAGUUCUGGGGACAAUUCAGAAGACGUCAGAAGGAUACAUCCCAAAGAUGAAGUAUACUAGAGGGUAGAUGAGGCAACUGUGGGUGACGAAAGUCACAGGCAGCAUAAAAGCAAAGGUGCCAGGCGGACAAUCUCUGAAGAGUAUUGAUAAUGUCUGGGCUGCCUGUCUUGUAAAGACACUGCCCAGAAGAAAGCAAUGGCAAACCACCUCUGUAGAAACAUUUGCCAAGAACAAUCAUGGCCCUUGGCAUGGCUCAAAAUAAUGCUGAUGAUGUCUUAUAGCCUUAUGAUCUUACUGUAUGACCUAUAUUCUUACUGUAACUUGUAGUCAUUUUUAUGUCUUGCACUGUACUGCUGCAAAACAAUGACAUACGUCAGUGAUAAUCUGAUUCUGAUUCUGGUUCUAAAUCAGUUUUCUCAUACACAUCUGGGGAGCAGCUGCACUGUGCGCCGCAGCCAGCAUAAACAUGGGACAAUUAGUAGGACGAUGGACAGUAUCAGUUCCAACUACCAAGUUGCUCUGUGAAACCGGAAUGUACACAAUAAAUUUUUGGUAUGGAUUUCUACUUGUGUCUGUUGCCACUUUCCAAAAAAAAGCAAGCAAUGAUGGCAAAGUUUCUUCAAGGUUGAAGUUUG
This is a long non-coding RNA of Hypanus sabinus (Atlantic stingray), 2029 nucleotides long. RefSeq lists it as uncharacterized. NCBI's taxonomy places the organism in Eukaryota, Metazoa, Chordata, Chondrichthyes, Myliobatiformes, Dasyatidae. The record is from RefSeq and is a predicted model, not a curated record. The transcript is spliced from 3 exons.